UUGGUGAUUAAAUUUUUUAUUUUUAUAUAAAAUUUUUAUAAUUUUUUUGGUUUAAUAAAUUAUUUUAAAUAAAAAUUUAGUUUUAAUAAAAAAGAUUUUCUUCAAAAAUAGAAUAGAAUCUAGUUAUGAAAAAAAUAUUUAGGUAGUUUUAAAAACUUAAAAUAGAUGGCAGUAAAAUAUUCAAAUUAAGGAAUUUUGAAAAAUAAUUUGAUAAUCCUCAAUUUUAUUUACUUUAAAAAUUUUUAUGUGUGGUUGUUUAAAAAUAUUAUUAAUGAAGAAUUUGAAUUCAAAUUUUACGUAAUAUUUUAAAGGAAUUUUUAAAAUGUAUUUAAAAGUUUAUAAAUAAAUUAUACAAGAUAAUACUUAAAAGUAAUAUAUAACAUAAUAAAAAUGUUUUAUUUUAGGUUCAUAUUGUCCGUCACUCUCUAUUU
RNAcentral lists this ribosomal RNA (431 nucleotides) under Oncaea serrulata. Its description in RNAcentral is "partial 12S ribosomal RNA". Lineage: Eukaryota; Metazoa; Arthropoda; Copepoda; Poecilostomatoida; Oncaeidae. The record is from RNAcentral.